This is a non-coding RNA of Meleagris gallopavo (turkey), 2807 nucleotides long. The record is from RefSeq and is a predicted model, not a curated record. NCBI's taxonomy places the organism in Eukaryota, Metazoa, Chordata, Aves, Galliformes, Phasianidae.
CCCUUCUUAUUAGAGUUUCUAAGACUCCUGAUUAAUUUAGAGCCUGUUUCAGCUGCUGCUUAAGGAGAUAGAACAUCUUGCUCUCACCCUUCUCAGUUUGCUGUUUCUAAUAGCUUUUAAAAAGUUGCGUGUAGUAUUAAUAAUGUUGUUUAUGAGCAAACAUAUGCAUAAGCUCAAGUUUUAGGACGGAAAGUUCUUCAAUUGUAUAGCAGAGCAAACCUCUUGAAGAGCCUGGGGUGAUGAUGACUGCAACGAGGAAAGCCGACAAACAACAAAAAAGCCACAAGCAUGAUUUACUUUACCAGUGCAAAAAGAAAACUUGAGCAGAGCCUGAUGAAAUGCUAAGGAGAGAGAAGGGACACAGAGCUCUUGACUGACAGAUGUUUUACUUAACUUAGCAGACACUUGAACCUUUGGAUUCCCUUUUCCUUGAUUCAGGAUCUUCAAAACGGCUACAUUGUGGUAUGAAGAAAUCUGAUUUCCCAGAUAUUAACUCAUAAAUAUUAACAUUCUCAAAGUCCCUCUAGAAUAACUUAGGAAAAUAAUUAUGUCUAUCCUUUUGGAAUAUUCUAGGUGAUGAGAAUGGAAGUGGUAAAUGGAAACCACAAAAAGAAUUACCUUUAGGAGGUCUAGUUCACCUGUGGUUACUGUACCUGUACUGUCAUCUUAGGUUAGCAAAACCAGCUGCUGUCAGGGGGCUGCAGGGUGAGGUGAAUGAGCUCACAGACAGGCUGUUGAAUAGGAUUCAUUGGGAAGUGGGUCCAUGUAAUGACCUGUAGGUCUACAUUUUGUUGUGUGUUAGUGGGAGACUUUAUUUGCUUAUUCAUCUCUUCAUUCAUUUUAGCAAGACCUUUAUGAAAUUAGAAACAACAGCCAUCCUAAAGUUCAGCAAAGCCCUUUAUCUGAGCCAUGUGUGACUGUCAUCCAUGUGGACAGGCGGCCCGUGGCCAAACAUGCAGGGAAACCUCCAGCUUCUUGCAGAAGACCAGAUGAAUGUGUGGAGGUCAUUUCAAAUGUGAAAUUUCUAAGCUGUAGGUUUGUGCAUUUCCUCAUAAAGAUCCUUGCAAAUUUUCAUCUUGAAGUUCUGCAACACAGCCUGAUUUUCUUUCUCCUUGCCUCAUCUCCAUUCUCUCACACAGCUUUUGGUUUGCUACUGGAAAGUGACCCCUUGAGACAAAAUUAAUCUUAUUUCAGGAACUGUGCCCACAAAACAAGGAGAUGAAUGUUAAGUUCUGGUUAGUAUUAAAGAAAAAUAAAACAGUACAGAUUAAAGCCCAUGCGUAGCCAGUGCUUGUGAGCAGUGCCAAAAUGACGAUUACAGAGAAGAAAGGCUCUGAUUUAGCUGGGUAACAUGUAAUCCAAGGGCUAUGCUAUACUGCUAACAAGUCUAGAUACUAGGACUGUGUCUAUACCAUCUAAUUAAUAUGGCACUUUGCCUGCCCUAAUGAGUUCAAUUUUUUUAAUUAGGCCAGGCAGGAUGCUAUGCUGAUGUGGCCAUGCCACUCUGAGACCUUAGUGAGUAUCUCAGCAGGCCAUAGCAUUAUACCACAUAGACCCAAGAGCUUGUUGGCACGUGGGAUCCCACUCUGUGUUGUACAGGACGUAGCAGAUCUACCUGUAGUCUUUCUUCAGUGUUAAUCCUCUGCUGAACUCCAAGAGUGAGUGAAAUGAUCGAAGAAUGUGUGUUUGUACUGAAGUACUCUACUAAGGAAGAAUCCUAUAGCUCUUUGUGGGCCUCACAUGGCAACCAUGGUGCCUAUAUUUACUUAAAAUAGCACUUAAUAUAUAAGUAUUUAUAUAAAUACUUUAAAAAGUAUUCAUAUAUGCUGCUCUUUCCAGUAGUAGCAAGUUGAUAUCACUGAUUCACAAAGGGGAAGCUAUGAAUAAGGUGGGUCAAGUUACUUGUCCUAAAGCAGUGGACCUCCCGUCUGGUGGCAUGUUGAACAAGAGAUCUGUAUCACUUCAAUUCCCUCUGCAGAAACCCAUAGCUACUAAACUCAAAAAGGGUAAUACACCCAUUUUUGGCUAAAACUGUAGAUUUUCCACUUAAAAUGUCAUAAACAAUCAAAGUUUCUGAGAUCAUGCUCUCUGUGCAUCUGCCCAGGAGAAUGUCCUUGCACCUGCUGCCUGCAUUUCACAUGGGCUAAUGAAAUUUAUAAAGCUACUCAGUUCUUAUAAGGUUUGUGAGAAAGGGUACCUGCUUGUGGUGCCUCACAGCAGGAGAGAGCCCACAGAGAGCUCUGCAGAAAGCAUGUUUCAGGACUUUGCCUUAUUAGUCUACAAAUAAUUGACUCCCCAGUCACAUUUUAUUUCUCUGAGGUAGAUUUCACUGAAGAAGCUUCAUGACUCAAAUGUGUAACUGAGUUAAAAUGUCAGUCAUCCACAAACAGCAAGUCCACCAGCACUCAGGUUUACUGAGUCUAGGACUGUAGCGAGGAUGGGUCUCCCAGAACUGCUCGUGCAUCAGAAGGCUGGUAUCAGUGUCCUUGCUGAUGUUACCUGAGUCUUUGGGAGAUGAAAUUCAACUGCUUCUGAUCAAAGCCAUUUUUUCAUUCAAGCCCUCGAAUGCUAGCUUAUUAUUUUCUUUACAGCUAUGGUGUAUUUUCACUCUCCUAUGAUAUUCUUCUCAGAUGAGGCUGCACUGUAUUGCCUCAGAUCUAUGCCAGAAAGAAUUACAGAUGUUUCAAAGGAAGUGUGCAGAAACCGUGCAGCUGAAACAGAAUAAAUUAUGCUUAAAAUCAAGGAAAUGUCCUAAUAAGUGAGAAAUGUACCAAUUUCUCCUUGAGCUUUUUUCCUUGCUGCUACCA